This 60-nucleotide transfer RNA is filed under the name Mielichhoferia bryoides. RNAcentral describes it as "partial tRNA-Leu". Lineage: Eukaryota; Viridiplantae; Streptophyta; Bryopsida; Bryales; Mniaceae. The record is from RNAcentral.
GUACGGACUUGAAAAUCCGUUGGCUUUAUUGACCGUGAGGGUUCAAGUCCCUCUACCCCA